Molecule: long non-coding RNA, 1466 nt
Organism: Carassius carassius (crucian carp)
Lineage: Eukaryota; Metazoa; Chordata; Actinopteri; Cypriniformes; Cyprinidae
Exons: 5
Source: RefSeq, a predicted model, not a curated record
UCCAUCACUGGAAAAUGAUGGGAUCAAUGAUCCACAAUGCCUCAAUAAUUGGCUUUAGUUUGAAACAAAUGACUAUUUUCUUAUAACUUAGAGUGUCAACCUAACCUUGACAAAACAUCAUCCUUUCUGAGCAGGAACUUGUCGCUGGAGAAAUGAACUUUCCUUAUUUCCUGGAAUAUGUCACAUUUGGUUUAUGCUUGUUUAGUACAUUUCCUUUUGGCCCAAAAUGUGUAUAAAAAAACAUAUGAAUUGAAAAUGUAUGGCAUGUACAAUGCAUAACCAUAAUUGGGGUCAAAAUAAAUACAAUUUUGUUUAUGAUUCUGUUUAUGAAUUUAAUAAUUUGUAUUUAAUUAGUUGAUUGAUAAUUGAUAAUCAGCCAUAUAUUAUAUUAGAGAUGUUAGUGGAACAGAGGUUUAAAUAUUCUUCAUUCUAAGACAUGAGACUGGAAUUCCUCUUUUUGGAGUAAAGGUUUUUCCCAGUUCAGUUCCUCAUAGUGAUGACUAAAUCUGACUAGACCGGUUUACAGUUUUGUAAUUGGGACAUUUAUUUUACCCCACAUUGUGUGGUUAUGUAGUAAAAGGAUGAGUAAUUUGUCGACUUAAAUAAGAACCUGUAAGGACUUCCAUUCCACUCGUUCUUUCAGUUUGAAGGAAACAGGAGCAACUCUAACAUUAGAUCCCGGAGGACAGAGAAGGGUUGACUGCAUCCAUGAUAAGAAGCAUGUUUCACAUCCAAGGACAACGAAGUUGGAAACUCCUGCUGUGUAUUUUGUCAUCAUUGAUCGUAGGCGUUGUGACGGGGCAGCACAGCGUCAGCAGCAGAAGUGAUUGUGCUAAAAAUGAAUACUGGAGCAAUGGGCUCUGCUGUGACAAAUGUGCUCCAGGGUAUAAGUUGGUAAGAAAAUGCUCUAGAGACUUGCCAUCUCAAUGUCAGAAAUGUGAGAAUGGGACAUUCCUAGACCAGGUGAACUAUUUCCCAAACUGCUUCAGAUGCGAGAAAUGCACCAAGCCAUAUGCGGUGGUGAUUUCACCAUGUACACCCCAAAAUAACACCGUGUGUGGAUGUCAGUCCGGAUACUUCAAAAAGUCCUUUGAUAGCAUUACAUGGGAAUGUAAAAAAGAAAGGAAAAAAUUGCAUGGCAGGAACCAUUUUUUGUUCUCUCAAAAAAUAUCUGUGAUAUUAGCCUGAAGUAUGACUGAAGAACACAGCUCUACCUCCAGCAGAGGCGUCAUGCCCAUUCAGAUUUUUAAGACAAGUGGAUUUUGAAUACAGCUUCCAAAAGACAAAAAUAGCCGAUUAAUAUUUUCUGCUGUGUGAGAAUGUUCAGCCAGUCAUAUCAUCAGCUGCUAAAUUCAGAUCUGCAUUCGCUGGCUGGCGCUAUUUUACAGGACUGCGCCUAAUUAUCACCAAUCACACAAGAUUCUGUUGAGCUUAUGAAUGCAAUGGCCAAUCAAAAGUGUUCCGCU